Molecule: long non-coding RNA, 3936 nt
Organism: Megalobrama amblycephala (Wuchang bream)
Lineage: Eukaryota; Metazoa; Chordata; Actinopteri; Cypriniformes; Xenocyprididae
Exons: 2
Source: RefSeq, a predicted model, not a curated record
UCCGCAAACGCUGAAACAAAAAUCAAGAUUUCGACAGCCAGAAAGAGCAUUGAGAAGGACGAGACAACAGAUAUACAGCAAGAGGACGACUCAAAAGCCUCAAAAGGAAAGGCUUUUCUUUUAUUGAGAAAGACCUGCUUUACAAAAGGGAAAAUCAAACUGAUGAAAAGCAAGAAGGCCAUGUCAUGGGGGAAGACCGUUCUUUCAAGGAGCAAGACCAAAAUGAGGAAGGGAGAGACUGCGUUUGUGGUGGGUACAACUACAAUCACUCAUGGAGAGACUACUAGUUCUUUGAGCAAGGCCACUUUAAGUCAAGGGGAGAAGUCUGUCACUGUAGUUAAGACUUCCCUCAAAAGAGGGAAGGAAAAGCAAUGGAAUCUCUACUGGGAUUUUCAUCUGUGACUUAAAGACACAAAUAUAACUGCAAACAGAAUAUGUACAGUAUAUGUAUAUGUUACCACAAAGACUGACUUUGAAGUAGAGCGUUCAAGCAGGUUGGAUGUCUUGUGAGAUGCAAGUGUUGGCCAGCUUGCUCUAGAAUUGCACACAAAUGCAUUCUGGAGGCAAAGUGAAGUGCAAGUGUACCUUAAUUAGCUUGGAACUGAGCAUGACGUCUUUGUCCCUGAAAGAGAAUACAUAUGAUUUUAAGAAAGAUUUGUCUGAGAACAUUUUCAGAGAUCAGGCGCCAAUCUGGUUUCCACGAAGAGAACAUGCAUGCAUGUGUGAGGGUGUGCACUUCCACAACUGGAAUGGCUUUUAUUGUUGUUCACAUGCAGAAGGGUCUAAGUUGGAUAAUGAUCGAGAAUCCAGAUCUGAGAUUCUGUUUUGCAAGUGGAAUUGUAUCAGUUAAUUGGUACUAACAUAACAAGUCAUAGAAAAACGUUUUAACUUCAACCACAGCCUUACAAAAUAAAAAUGUGCAUUGUUAAUUCUUUAACUUCUUAAUCUUACAUUAAUGUAGCAUAAAUCGACCAGUAUAAUAAUGAAUUAAAUCAGAAUUGUCAAUAAAUAGACCUUUAAAAUGGUAAACAAAAUUAUGUGUCUGUCUUUAAAAUAUUUCAGAGGGCUUAUUUUAAUUUACAUUAAGCUAAGCACACACUGUUGCUUGUCAAUGUGAUCACAAUCAUAUCUUAGGUAAAGCCACAGAACACUGUGCUGUUUCUUUUGUCAGACUGUACAACUGUAUUCAAGACUUUGGUACCACUCGUCCCGUUGACAGCAAGUAGUAAAUUUUUUACACCUCCAGAACGUCGUUGGUGGCUAAGAUUUAAAAGCAAGAGGCCAAAAACAAAUACACUGUGAACCUGGCUUUACCUUUUAACUUGCACAAUUAGCAAGCAUCUCAAAAAUUGGCUAUAUAUGAAACAAUCCUUCGGUUAUAACUAAUUUGACUACACAUUUUGGGGGUCUGAAAUAACAAACUCAUUAAAGUAGACCACACCCUUGAGUCUCAGCAAUCUGUCGUGGGCUCAGUCAACACAACACCUUUUUCAGAAGCCGUGUACAGUAUAAGACUUUGGAUAGCGGUUCUAGGGAGGCACAAUGCCACGGAACUGAGUGAUGUCACCACUGAUUGUGUCGCUCAACAAUGUGUUCUUCAGUGCCUCGCUUUAGCGACGGUACAAUGUGGUCUACUGUCCGCUCUGCCCCCGUAUAGAACUAAGGCCUCCUACGGCAGCCUCUGUCCAUUCACGGCACACAGGGGAGGUAUGUGGCCUUGCGAAGCCCACGUUAUGCUGCUCAACAAGUGCUUUAUGCUGCUGCAUGGGGGUUGCUCUCACCACGCUUAGCAUUCUUGUCCCAUCCCGACACUAGCUGUUUGGACUGUCACACCCAGCCAGGCACUGUCUGUGUGUGUUGGGAUGCGUUGCUGCCAGGGUACGCGAUGAGCCAUCGUAGCCUCAUCCUGUAGAGCCAGGAGAGCACAAGAUUCCCAAGGGAGAGUAGAGAAAAUUUAACCUUGAACUUGCUCCAGGUCAGAUUGUCUAGGCUGGCUGCUGGAGGGGACCUCCUGGAGCUUCUCCACCACCACCUUCGGUUCCACCAUGGGUAACACCAGUAUCACAGAGGGCAAGACAGCCCUCAACCUGGGGAGCACAUCAAUCAAGAGAGACAAGACCAAGAUCAUGAUGGGAAACUCUUCUAUCUCCCGCGGGAAGAGCACAACAUCCCUGGGCUCCUCCACCAUCACCAGUGGCAAGACAAAGAUCUCCAUGGGUGGCGCCUCUUUCAGCCGAGGCACCAAGACUACGUCCUUCCGAAAAGCUUUUAUGCCCAAGAGGAAGACUCUUUAAUGGCAAGUAAGGCCAAAUCUUUGGGGAGGGUGCAGGGUGCUAGGAGUGGUAUGGGGGGGACAGUUUCACCAAGCUGGGAACAAAGAAAACAUAAGCAAAUAUCACCAACAGCUGAGGAAACAUCAUCAUCACAGCGUACCUUCUGUGGAGAUAAUUUAUUGCAUCUUGCUAAAUUUUUUGCCAUUCAAAAAAAAAAAAAAAAAAAAUCCCUUUUGGACCAAGUCUAUUUUUUUGUUUUCAUUUCUCUGGAAUACAUCCCAGAUACAGAGUUCUUGAAUCAUCGGAGUCCACACCUUUACAUUACUAGCUUCAGCUGUCUGGAAAACCUUUUCAAGAAGAAAAGCAAAACGGGCCAUUCCAUUUUAUUGGAAAAUCAAGACUUGGAGACAUCAACAAGAGCCAUUCUUUAACCGCUGGAACUCUUACCUUUUGACUUUGACCUGGGAGGCAGUCACCAUGCCCUAUUUUACACUUCAUAAACCCUCGUUACUGCCAUACACUGUUACAAAUCUGAGCUAUUGUCUUGUAUAUGACAACAUUUGGAAGGUACUUCUAUCCAAAACAUCUACAAUGCAUUCAAUGUAUUUCAUUAGUAAAAACCAACCAAACAAACAUGUAAACGUAUAAUGAGUGCCCUUAUAGUGAAACCUUUAUUUAGCCCCUCUUAAACUGACAUUUGUUUAGUCUGAGUGUAAAAACUGAAAAAGUAGAAAACUGAAACUGUGUAAACUGUGUGACUGUCUAUAGUUAUGUCAGUGAUCAAGACUGUAUAUGUGUAACCAUUGUAAAAGAGGCAGCAGAAAUGCAACAUCGCUAAUGCUUUUGAUCUUAGCGCAGAAGGAACUCAGCUUUGAGAUAAGUGGGUGCGUUAUGGGGAGUGAAACUAAUCAUGUGUCUGUUGGUCAAAAACUCUUCUCCACAACGUCAAAAGCUCUCAGUUUCAGCAAAGAUGCUUCAGAUGAUAAAUAUAUUGGUUAGAUUUGCAGCUUAACUCAUCUCCCAUGAAGAACGGCCAAAAUCAAACAUUUCCCCGACCACUGAGAACUGCAACCUGGUAUAAAGCUAUAAACGAAGCAACAGCUUAAAUAAAUGAGCAUUGCUUUGUGGACUGAGAGACAUGACAAUGGGGGUGAGGGUUUGAUGAUUGAUUGAGAGUGAAGGAAAUGAAAUGUCUCCUGAUCUCAAUGUAUCAGAGAAAUACAACAAGGGAGGUUUUAGCUAUUCUGAGCUACGUGUCCCUAAGUAAUCUGAGCUAAUCACGAUCCAAUUUAAUUAAGCACUGUUUGAGAUUUCUUUGCUAGCAGCCAUUAAUUAAGAUUCAAAAAAAUCUUUUUUUUCUUGUCUUCGUCCUGUGUAUCUUGUUGUUAAAUGUUACAAACAACACUGGCGUGGCUUAACAAGGGAUGUGGGUAGCAGAGAAAGGCCUCUGCCCUUUUCAACAAAAGCGUCUUUGUGUUUAUAAUAAUCUGUGAGGUCUGAAGUCCAUUUUUGUAAUUCUUUCUUGUUCAUUUUUCCACCAUGCAUUAGCAUAGCAUGUGUUUCAUGUGUUUAACAGUUCCUACAUUAUGAUGGUAGAACCUUGGAAAGUUUGGUUCUAACCACAGUGCUGUAUGCUUAAUAAAUAUGUGCUGACAUUAAUGAA